AUUGAACGCUGGCGGCAUGCUUUACACAUGCAAGUCGAACGGCAGCGCGGGCUUCGGCCUGGCGGCGAGUGGCGAACGGGUGAGUAAUACAUCGGAACGUGCCCAGUAGUGGGGGAUAGCUCGGCGAAAGCCGGAUUAAUACCGCAUACGACCUGAGGGUGAAAGCGGGGGAUCUUCGGACCUCGCGCUAUUGGAGCGGCCGAUGGCAGAUUAGCUAGUUGGUGGGGUAAAGGCCUACCAAGGCGACGAUCUGUAGCUGGUCUGAGAGGACGACCAGCCACACUGGGACUGAGACACGGCCCAGACUCCUACGGGAGGCAGCAGCGGGGAAUUUUGGACAAUGGGCGAAAGCCUGAUCCAGCAAUGCCGCGUGUGUGAUGAAGGCCUUCGGGUUGUAAAGAACUUUUGGCGGGAACGAAAAGGACUGUGCCAAUACCACGGUUCGAUGACGGUACCCGCAGAAUAAGCACCGGCUAACUACGUG
Molecule: ribosomal RNA, 484 nt
Filed under: uncultured bacterium
Lineage: Bacteria
Description: partial 16S ribosomal RNA
Rfam family: Bacterial small subunit ribosomal RNA
Source: RNAcentral